RNAcentral lists this ribosomal RNA (407 nucleotides) under uncultured bacterium. Its description in RNAcentral is "partial 16S ribosomal RNA". It matches the Rfam family "Bacterial small subunit ribosomal RNA", at positions 30 to 526 of the family's 1533-position model. The record is from RNAcentral.
AUUGAACGCUGGCGGCAUGCCUAACACAUGCAAGUCGAGCGGAGCGGCUGACGGGUGCGUAAUGCCUAGGAAUCUGCCUGGUAGUGGGGGAUAACGUCCGGAAACGGGCGCUAAUACCGCAUACUCUCAGUUGAGCCUCGGUCGGAUUAGCUAGUGGGUGGGGUAAAGGCCUACCAAGGCGACGAUCCCUAGCUGUGCUGAGAGGAUGAACAGCCACACUGGAACUGAGACACGGUCCAGACUCCUACGGGAGGCAGCAGUGGGGAAUAUUGCACAAUGGGCGAAAGCCUGAUACAGCCAUGCCGCGUGUGUGAAGAAGGCCUUCGGGUUGUAAAGCACUUUCAGCGGGGAGGCGUUACCCGCAGAAGAAGCACCGGCUAACUCCGUGCCAGCAGCCGCGGUAAUUC